GGCUCCUUGGUCGAGCGGUAAGAACACUUGCUCAUUCUGGAGUCCCGGGUUCGAUUCCCGGCCGAGGAGAUA
Rhamnusium bicolor is the source of this 72-nucleotide non-coding RNA. The record is from the annotation of a GenBank genome assembly. NCBI's taxonomy places the organism in Eukaryota, Metazoa, Arthropoda, Insecta, Coleoptera, Cerambycidae.